Molecule: long non-coding RNA, 255 nt
Organism: Macrobrachium nipponense
Lineage: Eukaryota; Metazoa; Arthropoda; Malacostraca; Decapoda; Palaemonidae
Exons: 3
Source: RefSeq, a predicted model, not a curated record
CAGGAUCCCCGUUUACUUUUAUGGAAGCUCCAGAAUGUCUUUAACAGCUGCAAGGUAUUUAGCGUUGGUCGUGUUAAGCAGUUACUUCUGUCCAGCAGAGAGCUCGAAUGGGACGUCAUCGUACUUAAAAUCAAUGGAUUUUCGGCCUCUUUCUUUUGACAGUUUUGAGCUGUCGGAAAUCUCGAAGGCACUUGCAUUGAUGGAUCGAAAAGAACCUCUUCAUGUGCGCGUGCUCUAUGACGAGAUAUUUGAAGG